UACGUAGGUGGCAAGCGUUGUCCGGAUUUAUUGGGUUUAAAGGGUGCGUAGGCGGCUUUGUAAGUCAGUGGUGAAAUAUGGCAGCUUAACUGUCAAGGUGCCAUUGAUACUGCGGAGCUUGAGUACAGAUGAGGUAGGCGGAAUUGACGGUGUAGCGGUGAAAUGCUUAGAUAUCGUCAAGAACACCUAUAGCAAAGGCAGCUUACUAGGCUGUAACUGACGCUGAGGCACGAAAGUGUGGGGAUCAAACAGG
Molecule: ribosomal RNA, 253 nt
Filed under: uncultured bacterium
Lineage: Bacteria
Description: partial 16S ribosomal RNA
Rfam family: Bacterial small subunit ribosomal RNA
Source: RNAcentral